This is a non-coding RNA of Dermacentor andersoni, 73 nucleotides long. NCBI's taxonomy places the organism in Eukaryota, Metazoa, Arthropoda, Arachnida, Ixodida, Ixodidae. The record is from the annotation of a RefSeq genome assembly.
CCGUCGAUAGCUCAGUUGGUAGAGCGGUGGACUGUAGAUCCAUAGGUCGCUGGUUCGAAUCCGGCUCGACGGA